UGGCUCUCGCAUCGAUGAAGAACGCAGCGAAAUGCGAUAAGUAAUGUGAAUUGCAGAAUUCAGUGAAUCAUCGAAUCUUUGAACGCACCUUGCGCUCCUUGGUAUUCCGAGGAGCAUGCCUGUUCGAGUGUCAUUAAAUUUAUCAACCUUUAUUUGACUUUUUGUCACUAGAGGCUUGGACUUGGGGGUUUAUUUUGUUGGUUUCAUUUAGAAAUCUGCUCCCCUUAAAUGUAUUAGCUGGUGCACUUAGUGGUAUCAUCUAUUGGUGUGAUAAUUAUCUACGCCGUUGGAUGUCUAAUGCGCUGCUUCUAAUCGUCCUUUUGGACAAAUUUGUUAUGACCAUUUGACCUCGAAUCAGGUAGGACUACCCGCUGA
This 375-nucleotide unclassified non-coding RNA is filed under the name uncultured fungus. RNAcentral describes it as "partial contains 5.8S ribosomal RNA and internal transcribed spacer 2". The stretch from base 1 to 133 matches the Rfam family "5.8S ribosomal RNA", at positions 22 to 154 of the family's 154-position model. Lineage: Eukaryota; Fungi. The record is from RNAcentral.